Molecule: transfer RNA, 67 nt
Filed under: Exostoma labiatum
Lineage: Eukaryota; Metazoa; Chordata; Actinopteri; Siluriformes; Sisoridae
Description: tRNA-Cys
Rfam family: tRNA
About the family: Transfer RNA (tRNA) molecules are approximately 80 nucleotides in length.
Source: RNAcentral
AGCUCCGUGGUGUUUAACAUUUCGGAUUGCAAAUCCGAAGUAGCCGGCUAAUUUCCUGCCGGGGCUU